AUGGGGUGCCUUGUUAUGGUCACCAUACUGCAAGUGUGCUUGAUCAUCAGUGCCGCCGCCGCUGGCCCGCGCAAGAUGGCGAGGCUGGUGCCGGCGAUGUACGUGUUCGGGGACUCGACGCUGGACGUGGGCAACAACAACUACCUGCCGGGGCCGAACGUGCCCAGGGCCAACACGCCCCUCAACGGCGUCGACUUCCCCGGCGGCGCCCGGGCGACGGGGCGGUUCAGCAACGGCUACCACGUCGCCGACUUCAUCGCAAUAAAACUGGGACUGAAGGAGAGCCCGCCGGCGUACCUGUCGCUCGCGCCACGCCCCAGCGACCUGCUCCUCAGCGCUCUCGCCACAGGCGUGAGCUAUGCUUCUGCCGGAGCCGGCAUCCUGGACUCCACCAACGCGGGGAACAAUAUCCCGCUGUCGAAGCAGGUGCGGUACAUGGAGUCAACCAAGGCCGCCAUGGAGGCCAGGGUGGGCAAAGCCGCGGCGCGCCUCCUGCUCUCGAGGUCCUUCUUCCUCUUCAGCGUCGGCAGCAACGACAUCUCCGUGUUCGCGGCCGCGCCGGGCGACGUCGCCGCGCUGUAUGCCAGCCUCAUCUCCGGCUACUCCACCGCCAUCACGGACCUGUACGGCAUGGGCGCGAGGAAGUUCGGGAUCGUCAACGUGGGGCUGCUGGGCUGCGUGCCGGCGGCGCGGGCUCUCAGCGCGACGGGCGCGUGCAACGACGGGCUCAACCAGUUGUCGGCCGGCUUCAACGACAAGCUCAGGUCCCUCAUGGCCGGCCUCGCCGCCCGGCUGCCGGGCCUCGACUACUCCCUCGCCGACAACUACAACCUCUCACAAGUCACCUUCGCCAACCCAGCGGCAUCCGGGUACGUGAACAUAGACAGCGCGUGCUGCGGGAGCGGGAGGAUGGGGGCGGACAGCGACUGCCUGCCUAACUCCACGACGUGCGCCGACCACGACCGCUUCGUCUUCUGGGACCGGGGGCAUCCCUCGCAGCGCGCCGGAGAGCUCAGCGCCGCCGCAUACUUGGACGGAGCGGCCGGGUUCACCGCGCCCAUCAGCUUCGACCAGCUGGCCCGCAAAGAUUUAGCUAUCUAG
This 1101-nucleotide ribosomal RNA is filed under the name Triticum aestivum (bread wheat). Its description in RNAcentral is "partial small subunit ribosomal RNA". Lineage: Eukaryota; Viridiplantae; Streptophyta; Magnoliopsida; Poales; Poaceae. The record is from RNAcentral.